Molecule: ribosomal RNA, 253 nt
Filed under: uncultured bacterium
Lineage: Bacteria
Description: partial 16S ribosomal RNA
Rfam family: Bacterial small subunit ribosomal RNA
Source: RNAcentral
UACGAAGGGGGCUAGCGUUGCUCGGAAUCACUGGGCGUAAAGGGUGCGUAGGCGGGUCUUUAAGUCAGGGGUGAAAUCCUGGAGCUCAACUCCAGAACUGCCUUUGAUACUGAGGAUCUUGAGUUCGGGAGAGGUGAGUGGAACUGCGAGUGUAGAGGUGAAAUUCGUAGAUAUUCGCAAGAACACCAGUGGCGAAGGCGGCUCACUGGCCCGAUACUGACGCUGAGGCACGAAAGCUUGGGGAGCAAACAGG